ACGGGUGAGUAACGCGUGGGAACGUACCCUUUUCUACGGAAUAACGCAUGGAAACGUGUGCUAAUACCGUAUGUGCCCUUCGGGGGAAAGAUUUAUCGGAAAAGGAUCGGCCCGCGUUGGAUUAGCUAGUUGGUGGUGUAAAGGCCUACCAAGGCGACGAUCCAUAGCUGGUCUGAGAGGAUGAUCAGCCACAUUGGGACUGAGACACGGCCCAAACUCCUACGGGAGGCAGCAGUGGGGAAUAUUGGACAAUGGGCGCAAGCCUGAUCCAGCCAUGCCGCGUGAGUGAUGAAGGCCUUAGGGUUGUAAAGCUCUUUCACCGGUGAAGAUAAUGACGGUAACCGGAGAAGAAGCCCCGGCUAACUUCGUGCCAGCAGCCGCGGUAAUACGAAGGGGGCUAGCGUUGUUCGGAUUUACUGGGCGUAAAGCGCACGUAGGCGGAUCGAUCAGUCAGGGGUGAAAUCCCAGAGCUCAACUCUGGAACUGCCUUUGAUACUGUCGAUCUGGAGUAUGGAAGAGGUGAGUGGAAUUCCGAGUGUAGAGGUGAAAUUCGUAGA
This 557-nucleotide ribosomal RNA is filed under the name proteobacterium StTD709. RNAcentral's name for it is "bacterial SSU rRNA". It matches the Rfam family "Bacterial small subunit ribosomal RNA", at positions 102 to 694 of the family's 1533-position model. Lineage: Bacteria; Pseudomonadati; Pseudomonadota. The record is from RNAcentral.